AGAACGAACGCUGGCGGCAUGCCUAACACAUGCAAGUCGAACGAGACCUUCGGGUCUAGUGGCGCACGGGUGCGUAACGCGUGGGAAUCUGCCCUUGGGUUCGGAAUAACAGUUAGAAAUGACUGCUAAUACCGAAUGAUGUCGUAAGACCAAAGAUUUAUCGCCCAGGGAUGAGCCCGCGUAAGAUUAGGUAGUUGGUGUGGUAAAGGCGCACCAAGCCGACGAUCUUUAGCUGGUCUGAGAGGAUGAUCAGCCACACUGGGACUGAGACACGGCCCAGACUCCUACGGGAGGCAGCAGUGGGGAAUAUUGGACAAUGGGCGAAAGCCUGAUCCAGCAAUGCCGCGUGAGUGAUGAAGGCCUUAGGGUUGUAAAGCUCUUUUACCCGGGAUGAUAAUGACAGUACCGGAGAAUAAGCUCCGGCUAACUCCGUGCCAGCAGCCGC
RNAcentral lists this ribosomal RNA (445 nucleotides) under uncultured bacterium. RNAcentral describes it as "SSU rRNA". It matches the Rfam family "Bacterial small subunit ribosomal RNA", at positions 26 to 518 of the family's 1533-position model. The record is from RNAcentral.